RNAcentral lists this ribosomal RNA (460 nucleotides) under uncultured bacterium. RNAcentral's name for it is "partial 16S ribosomal RNA". It matches the Rfam family "Bacterial small subunit ribosomal RNA", at positions 338 to 795 of the family's 1533-position model. The record is from RNAcentral.
CCUACGGGAGGCAGCAGUGAGGAAUAUUGGUCAAUGGACGAGAGUCUGAACCAGCCAAGUAGCGUGAAGGAUGACUGCCCUAUGGGUUGUAAACUUCUUUUAUAUGGGAAUAAAGUGUUCCACGUGUGGGAUUUUGUAUGUACCAUAUGAAUAAGGAUCGGCUAACUCCGUGCCAGCAGCCGCGGUAAUACGGAGGAUCCGAGCGUUAUCCGGAUUUAUUGGGUUUAAAGGGAGCGUAGGUGGAUUGUUAAGUCAGUUGUGAAAGUUUGCGGCUCAACCGGAAAAUUGCAGUUGAAACUGGCAGUCUUGAGUACAGUAGAGGUGGGCGGAAUUCGUGGUGUAGCGGUGAAAUGCUUAGAUAUCACGAAGAACUCCGAUUGCGAAGGCAGUUCACUGGACUGCAACUGACACUGAGGCUCGAAAGUGUGGGUAUCAAACAGGAUUAGAUACCCCAGUAGUC